ACUGCUCAGUAACACGUGGACAACCUAACCUACAGAGGGGGAUAACCCCGGGAAACUGGGGAUAAUACCCCAUAGACUAUGGAUGCUGGAAUGCUUCGUAGUUGAAAGGUCCGCCGCUGUAGGAUGGGUCUGCGGCCGAUUAGGUUGUUGUUGGGGUAACGGCCCAACAAGCCUGUAAUCGGUACGGGUUGUGGGAGCAAGAGCCCGGAGAUGGAUUCUGAGACACGAAUCCAGGCCCUACGGGGCGCAGCAGGCGCGAAAACUUUGCAAUGCGGGAAACCGUGACAAGGGAACCCUGAGUGCCCGUUAAAUCGGGCUGUCCAUCGGUUUAAAUAACCGGUGAAGAAAGGGCCGGGCAAGACCGGUGCCAGCCGCCGCGGUAAUACCGGCGGCUCGAGUGGUGGCCACUAUUACUGGGCUUAAAGCGUUCGUAGCUGGUUUGUUAAGUCUCUGGGGAAAUCUUCCGGCUUAACCGGAAGGCGUCUCAGGGAUACUGGCAGACUAGGGACCGGGAGAGGUGAGAGGUACUCCAGGGGUAGGAGUGAAAUCCUGUAAUCCUUGGGGGACCACCUGUGGCGAAGGCGUCUCACCAGAACGGCUCCGACAGUGAGGGACGAAAGCUGGGGGAGCAAACCGGAUUAGAUACCCGGGUAGUCCCAGCUGUAAACGAUGCGCGUUAGGUGUAUCGGUGACCACGAGUCACCGAGGUGCCGAAGAGAAAUCGUGAAACGUGCCGCCUGGGAAGUACGGUCGCAAGGCUGAAACUUAAAGGAAUUGGCGGGGGAGCAC
This 789-nucleotide ribosomal RNA is filed under the name uncultured archaeon. Its description in RNAcentral is "bacterial SSU rRNA". It matches the Rfam family "Archaeal small subunit ribosomal RNA", at positions 85 to 879 of the family's 1478-position model. The record is from RNAcentral.